GACGAAGGAUGCAAGCGUUAUCCGGAUUCAUUGGGUUUAAAGGGAGCGUAGGUGGCCUUGUAAGUCAGUGGUGAAAUCCUGUCGCUUAACGAUAGAAUUGCCAUUGAUACUGCAGGGCUUGAGUACAGUUGCCGUUGGCGGAAUAUGACAUGUAGUGGUGAAAUACAUAGAUAUGUCAUAGAACACCGAUUGCGAAGGCAGCUGACGAAACUGUAACUGACACUGAGGCUCGAAAGUGUGGGGAUCAAACAGGAUAGAAACC
RNAcentral lists this ribosomal RNA (262 nucleotides) under uncultured bacterium. RNAcentral describes it as "partial 16S ribosomal RNA". It matches the Rfam family "Bacterial small subunit ribosomal RNA", at positions 524 to 786 of the family's 1533-position model. The record is from RNAcentral.